Molecule: unclassified non-coding RNA, 557 nt
Filed under: Hevea brasiliensis (rubber tree)
Lineage: Eukaryota; Viridiplantae; Streptophyta; Magnoliopsida; Malpighiales; Euphorbiaceae
Source: RNAcentral
GGAUACUUCAGAAAUUUGCAUUCUCAUCUUAUCAUACUCUUGGUCAAAAAUCAUAUCAAGAACUACUUAGGAGAUUCGCUUUAAUUCCUAAGCAAUUUAAGAUCACUUGGAGGCUUUCAUUCAUCAUUCAUCCUUCAUCCUUACAUGUGUUUUGUGUUAUCAAAUUGAAGAAUUGCUUUUACUUGGAGGACAACAUCCAUUCGGAUUUGGUGGAGAUUCAAGGAAAAAUUGGAGCUUUUCAUUCUAGCCUUGGCUGAACCUUGCUUGGUGGACUCCCAUUGGAUUUUUAAGUUUGUUAUUAAUAAAGGGAGCUUAUUUUCCUUGUUUAUGAAUUCUUUAAUUUGUGUUUUGUGUUUGUUUGCUAGCAUGAGCGAGUAGUUUGUUAAUCUAGUAAGAGGAUUGCUAAACUAUGAACAUUAACUUAUGAGAUUUAGAUUUUUUGGUUAAUAAAGUUUAGUUUUUAUCCAUAUGAAUAUUCUUUAUCUUAAAUAUUGAAGUAUAGAUUUAUGCAUAGUUGUUUAGCUUGAUUACCUAAAUGGUUAUGUAUGGAAUUCAAU